UGGCGUAAGGGUGAGUAACGCGUGGGCAAUCUACCUUCAAGAUGGGGAUAACCUGGCGAAAGCUGGGCUAAUACCGAAUGUGGUCACUUGGCGCAAGCCUGGAUGACUGAAGGCGGGGUCUCGCAAGAGGCCUGUCGCUUGAAGAGGAGCCCGCGUCCUAUCAGCUAGUUGGUGAGGUAACGGCUCACCAAGGCUAUGACGGGUAGCUGGUCUGAGAGGAUGGUCAGCCACAUUGGGACUGAGAUACUGCCCAGACUCCUACGGGAGGCUGCAGUCGAGGAUCAUUCGCAAUGCGCGAAAGCGUGACGAUGCGACGCUGCGUGGAGGAUGAAGGCCUUCGGGUCGUAAACUCCUGUCAUUCGGGAUCAAUGCCACGGGGACUAAUACUCACCGUGGAGGGAUAGUACCGGAAGAGGAAGUCACGGCUAACUCUGUGCCAGCAGCCGCGGUAAUACAGAGGUGGCAAGCGUUGUUCGGAUUUACUGGGCGUAAAGGGUGCGUAGGCGGUUUUGCGUGUCGGGUGUGAAAUUCUGCUGCUCAGUGGCAGAGCUGCGUCCGAAACUACAAAACUGGAGUGCAGGAGAGGAAAGCGGAAUUCUUGGUGUAGCGGUGGAAUGCGUUGAUAUCAAGAGGAACACCGGUGGCGAAGGCGGCUUUCUGGAAUGCAACUGACGCUGAGGCACGAAAGUUGGGGGAGCAAACAGGAUUAGAUACCCUGGUAGUCCCAACUGUAAACGGUGCACACUGGGUGUGGGGGGGGAUUUGACCCUCCCCGGUGCCGCAGUUAACACGAUAAGUGUGCCGCCUGGGGAGUACGGCCGCAAGGCUAAAACUCAAGAAAUUGACGGGGCCCGCACAAGCGGAGGAGCAUGUGGCUCAUUCG
RNAcentral lists this ribosomal RNA (883 nucleotides) under uncultured bacterium. Its description in RNAcentral is "bacterial SSU rRNA". It matches the Rfam family "Bacterial small subunit ribosomal RNA", at positions 96 to 953 of the family's 1533-position model. The record is from RNAcentral.